Oncorhynchus gorbuscha (pink salmon) is the source of this 987-nucleotide long non-coding RNA. RefSeq lists it as uncharacterized. The transcript has 3 exons. The record is from RefSeq and is a predicted model, not a curated record. NCBI's taxonomy places the organism in Eukaryota, Metazoa, Chordata, Actinopteri, Salmoniformes, Salmonidae.
CCUCUAAAUUUCAGUUCGUGUGGUGGCUCAAGCUGGAGGACUUGCUCUUGUCUGGCCAUGUCCCAGAGGUUCGAAAGCCUUUCUAAUAUAAGUACCUGGUCUAUAUGUCGCAGCUUUUGUUACUAUAACUAUUGUAAAAUCUCCUAAAUACGACCCGAUUUCGUUAAGGGAUAGCUGAAGGAUCACAAAUGCACCACUGGGACAGCCAAGUGCCAACAGCUGAAGCUAAGCUAGCAAGCAAGCAGGAAGGAAAGGAUCGGAUCCGUGUGACGUCGUGGGAGGGGACAGAUGAUAUUCGACCCCAACAUGACCAAGAAGAAUAAGAAGCCUUUCAUGCUGGAAGAAGACAGUAGGGACAGAGUGGGAGAGGACACACCGCAGGUGGAGGCCAAAGAGGUGGAACCUGAUGGUGGGGAGGACAGAUGUCGCGUUCAAAACAAAUGGGAACUCUGAAAAUGCGAGGUCAAAUCAUGACAUCAGUGAUCUUCAGGUCGGACAGUCGGAGUUCUAGAAAGAGGCCAGAGUUCUCAAGUUGGAUUUCCAAGUUGGAUGAACGUUCAAAUCGUUUGUUUUAUUCCGAGUUCAUAGUUGAUUUGAACGCACUGAAGUCAGAGGUCUGAGUUUUUCGAGUUCCCAGUUCCCAGUUGUUUUGAAUGAGGCAAGAAAGUUCAAUCUGGACAAUCUCGAAGGAAGGAAGAAAGGGAUGUGAGGAGAGGAAACGUGAAAACAAGAGCCUUUUCUCAUUUGGGCAAAAGUCUGUCCUCUGUCCUCUUUCCACUCUCCUCCGUGAACCCGAAACCGGUAAGUUUUGAAAUCUGCAACACCCCCUUUGAAACAGCAAUAGUUUUCUCGAAAUAGAAAAAGCAUGUAAAUAUUUAAAAACGAUACAUUGUUUAUCCUUUUACCUGUAAAAUGUCUUGCACAACUAGCUACAUUUAGUUUUUAUCACUUGAUAUAUUUAUUUUGGGAUUCCACCCUAUAAACGUA